AUACGUAGGUGGCAAGCGUUGUCCGGAAUUAUUGGGCGUAAAGCGCGCGCAGGUGGUUCCUUAAGUCUGAUGUGAAAGCCCCCGGCUCAGCCGGGGAGGGUCAUUGGAAACUGGGGAACUUGAGUGCAGAAGAGGAUAGUGGAAUUCCAAGUGUAGCGGUGAAAUGCGUAGAGAUUUGGAGGAACACCAGUGGCGAAGGCGACUGUCUGGUCUGUAACUGACACUGAGGCGCGAAAGCGUGGGGAGCAAACAGGAUUAGAUACCCUGGUAGUCCACGCCGUAAACGAUGAGUGCUAAGUGUUGGGGGGUUUCCGCCCCUCAGUGCUGCAGCUAACGCAUUAAGCACUCCGCCUGGGGAGUACGGUCGCAAGACUGAAACUCAAAGGAAUUGACGGGG
This 397-nucleotide ribosomal RNA is filed under the name uncultured bacterium. Its description in RNAcentral is "partial 16S ribosomal RNA". It matches the Rfam family "Bacterial small subunit ribosomal RNA", at positions 523 to 918 of the family's 1533-position model. The record is from RNAcentral.